This 355-nucleotide long non-coding RNA is filed under the name Podarcis lilfordi (Lilford's wall lizard). The record is from RNAcentral. Lineage: Eukaryota; Metazoa; Chordata; Lepidosauria; Squamata; Lacertidae.
GACACCUGCAGAUGGCCAGAAGCAGAGGGAGGGUGAAGAGCCCACGCCGGUGGAAAACAACGUUUUGUUUGCUGGCACAGCUUCACCAAAGGCUAAAGGCAAGUCUGAUGGCCAGGAGCAGGGGGGCAAGCUGCAAAAGCCCACGCCAGUGGAAAACAAGGUUUUGUUUGCUGGCACUGGCACAGCUUCACCAAAGGCUAAAGGCAAGUCUGAUGGCCAGGAGCAGGGGGGCAAGCAGCAAAGCCCACGCCGGUGGAAAACAAGGUUUUGCUUGCUGCAAAAGCUGCUCCAAAGGCCAAGGCCAGGUUUGUUGUUGAUUCAGGCUGUACCCGCCAUGUCUCAAAAGACCGCCACC